This 514-nucleotide ribosomal RNA is filed under the name Cistopus chinensis. RNAcentral describes it as "partial 16S ribosomal RNA". It matches the Rfam family "Bacterial large subunit ribosomal RNA", at positions 1817 to 2597 of the family's 2925-position model. The record is from RNAcentral. Lineage: Eukaryota; Metazoa; Mollusca; Cephalopoda; Octopoda; Octopodidae.
GUCUCUUUGAGUAAUAUUAAUAGAGAGUUGGGCCUGCUCGGUGAUUUAUAUUUAACAGCUGCGGUAUUAUAACUGUACUAAGGUAGCAUAGUAAUUUGCCUUAUAAAUUAAGGCUAGAAUGAAUGGUUUGACGAAAAUUAAUCUGUCUCUAUUUUAUUUACUAGAAGUUAAUUUUUAUAGUGAAAAAGCUUAAAUGAUUUAAAGGGACGAAAAGACCCUAUUGAGCUUAUAUUAAUAAUUAAUAUAAAUAAAUAAAUAUAUUAAGUGAGUUAAUUUUGGUUGGGGUGAUCAAGGAAUAAAAAGUAGUAUUUAUAAUAACUUCCUUAAUUUUAUAAUUUUUGUUGAGUAAUAAACCAAAUAUUUUUGCUUAUAUGAUAAGUUACCAUAGGGAUAACAGCGUAAUUUUUUUUGAGAGUUCAUAUUGAGAAAAGAGAUUGCGACCUCGAUGUUGGAUUAAAAUAACCUUAAGGUGUAGAGGCUUUAUUAGGUAAAUCUGUUCGAUUUUUAAAAUUUU